RNAcentral lists this transfer RNA (74 nucleotides) under Dreissena polymorpha. RNAcentral describes it as "tRNA-Lys". The record is from RNAcentral. Lineage: Eukaryota; Metazoa; Mollusca; Bivalvia; Myida; Dreissenidae.
AACCUGAUGGCCUAGUGGUAAUGGCGAUAGACUUUUACUACAUGGGUCAGUGGUUUGAAUCCAGUUGACGGUUA